RNAcentral lists this ribosomal RNA (525 nucleotides) under uncultured bacterium. RNAcentral's name for it is "bacterial SSU rRNA". It matches the Rfam family "Bacterial small subunit ribosomal RNA", at positions 8 to 526 of the family's 1533-position model. The record is from RNAcentral.
AGAGUUUGAUCCUGGCUCAGGAUGAACGCUAGCGGCAGGCUUAAUACAUGCAAGUCGUGGGGCAGCGCAGUGUAGCAAUACAUGGGCGGCGACCGGCAAACGGGUGCGUAACACGUUCGCAACCUUCCCGUUACUGGUGAAUAGCCCAGGGAAACUUGGAUUAAUACACCAUAUUAUAUUGACUAGGCAUCUGGUUGAUAUCAAAGCUCCGGCGGUAACGGAUGGGCGUGCGGUUGAUUAGGUAGUUGGCGGGGUAACGGCCCACCAAGCCUACGAUCAAUAGCUGAUGUGAGAGCAUGAUCAGCCACACGGGCACUGAGACACGGGCCCGACUCCUACGGGAGGCAGCAGUAAGGAAUAUUGGGCAAUGGACGCAAGUCUGACCCAGCCAUGCCGCGUGGAGGAUGAAGGUCCUCUGGAUUGUAAACUUCUUUUUUCUGGGGCGAAAACCGGUCAUUCUUGACCAUUUGACAGUACCAGAAGAAUAAGCACCGGCUAACUCCGUGCCAGCCGCCGCGGUAAUUC